GCAGAGGCUGGGCUGAGGUAUUCUAGAAAGAUGACGUCGGCUCACUCCCACAUUACCUCACUGGUGACAGCUUCACUCUUCUGCCCAGAGCUGAUAAGAAACACCACCCUGGGAAGACCAGGCCCCUCUCUUCCUCACUUCCUAAUCAGGCUGGAAAUAGUGUCAAAUAUAUUCAUCACUCUUUACGAGCAUCGCUGGGUCAUGUCCAGGACGUCUUCUGGGUUCCCUGUCAGCUUACAAAGUCGUACCUCUCCAGAGCAGCCCUAGGCCACCCUGUUUGGGCUGUAAACAAUCAGCAACAGGAAUCAAAGACAGAAAAGAAUGACAUUGACCUUCGAACCUGUUCGUGAAGAUUGUAUGAAACUGAGGAUGUUCGCUCUUUUAAAAAUUUCUGUCUUAAAAAAAAAAAAAAAAAUCUGUCUUUAAACCCCUUCACCUGCCCCUGAGUGAACCGAGAACAGGAACAGAAAUAGCGAAUGCAAAGAUGAUUCGGGUUGAGGGUUAAGUGGAAAAUACCCACCUGGACUGAAGGAAGCCUUGCCAAAAGGUAAAUGCGUGAACAGCUUCCUAGUCCCCGGGUAAUGACAAUUUCUGAGUCCCUCAGGACCGUUUCUGAGAACCUGUGGAGAAGUGGAGAAGAAUCUGGAAGCUAAAAAGUAACCUUUCCUCCACUUGCUCUGAAGAUAGAAGCAAAAGAAGAUUUAAUGGUACCAAAAGCUGCUAACAUAGGCAACAGAGUCACUUCCUAUCGGGAAGGUGCCUCCCUGGAGCAAAAGGAUGGAAACUAUCUGCUAAAAGUCUAUUAUCCCGGAGGCCCCCCAAGAAUGUGACCUCCCACACCUUCACCCUCUGGGCCUUCUCCAAUGGUACUAGAAGGUGUGACUGAAAGUGCCGGAAACUCGUCAGGGGAACACAUGGACUUGGGGGCAGAGGCAGAUCUGAAGCUGAAUUUAUUGCCUCUUUCCCAAACUCAGAGGACAGACACGUUGUAAACCCUCCUCAUCCUCACUCCUGGGGGCCCAGGAUAAAGCCCCUUCAUCUUCCAGACAGAAAACAAGGGGCCCUGAGACUGUCGGAGCUUCCCCAGAUGUUGUUUUGGCAGAACCAUAAUGGGGCCGGGCCUCCCGGGGCUGGGUGUCUGGGGCAGGAAGCUGGCAUCACAGCUGUGAUGGCCAAAGACUGCCCCCCUCCACCGCCACCCCGACCCCCAGGUGGGGCCUGAAGUGUGAUGAGAGACAGACUCAAGAAAGAGGAACACAAGGAAGAAUCUGCAGAAGAGGGCCGGCCACGUCCCGCCUCUGGCCUUCUGGCUCUGGGCCCACGGUAUUUGUCAGCUGUCCUGUGGCUCAGCGCUAGGGGUGGCCAAGCAUUCGAUCCUAUCGGUAUGGUUGAUCCGUAUGGUUUGGGGGAAGGGGUCUGGGAGCCAGAUUGGGACCCACUGCCCUGAGGCUCUGUUCGCUUCUCUGUGGCAAGAGAAUGUGCCCAGGACAUCCACCCUGACUCUCCCUUCAUCUGUGAUCUGUGCUCCAUACCGCUGACUCCCUGGGGCCCGGUCGGAUAUGUGAUCACCAGAUCUCCUGGUUCGGUGACAGAGAUCCCAGGGCCUACUUCCUGAGCUGAUACCCCAUAUCCAGUUAGGGACCCAGUCCUGUCGAUCAUCCUUUUGAAACAGCUUCUACUCUGCAUCACUAAAGCUUCUGCCACCAGAUCUUGCCUGGACAAUCACAAGAGUCCCCUACACGCUCUGUCUGCCCGGAGAGCUCCGCUUCACACCCUUUUCUCUGUCUGUCCUCUGCCAUAAGAACUCCUAACCGCAGAUUUAUUUUGUCUCUCUUCUGCUUAAAAUCCUUUAAAGGCUCCUUAAAAGUUCAAAUUUGUACCUGGGCCUUCAAGGCCUUUAUAAUCUGAGCCAACCUCUAAGCUCAGUUAACCUCAUUCUCAGUGUUUCUUAAACAUACACUUGUACUUCGGUCCCCCUGUGCCUUUGCUCAUAUUGUGUGCCCAGCCUAGAAUUCUCUUUGUUCACAUCUUUGCCCAUCAAAUAGGCUAUUCAUUCCUUCAAGACCUGGUUUCUAUGUCACCUCUUAUGUGAAGCCUUCCUGGAUUCACCACAACCUCCAACACGCCAUUGUGAUUAGUCACUUCCUCUCUUCUUUAUAACUCCAGAGCUCAUAGACUGAUGUUACAGUUCAUUGUGUAGCCCCGUGAGACUGGGGUCCCUUGAAAAUGGGGUCUGGCUUGUACUUUUGUACUUCAAUACCCGCCGCACACGUUGGCCCUUGGCACACAGUAGGGACUCGGUGAAUCUGGUUGAAUUCACUUCUUCAUGCAAAUUAUAGAGAGAGAGAACGUUAUUCUUCCCAUAUUAGUGAAGGAAAAAGUAUGCACAGACAGGAUGAUGGACGGGUCAGAAAGGACACCAAAAGGGGGUGGGGAGUGGGCCUGGGAAGGGGUUCUAAAUCUUACUGCCUUCCCCCACAGGAGUAAGAAUAAGGUCAGUGGGGACAAAUCUCUCCGCAGAUUAAGAAUGGGUGGACUCAGCUGUUUAGGCUGUUGGCCCUGUUUUUUCUUUUUUUCAAGAUUGUAUUUAUUUGACCACAACCUGGGCCCAAAAGCAGAUGCUCAACCCACUGAGCCACCCAGGCGCCCCCAGCCCAGUUCUGAUGUUGACUGACCUUGAUGGUUCACAAUUAAACUUCUGAACUGGCUUAUAAUUUAUUUAUUCUAGUGUAGUGUUUAGAGCCCAUGCCCUGGAGCCACACUGCUUGGAACCUAACUGUGCAAUCUUGUUAUUAAGCCUCUCUGUGCUCUGCUCUUCUCUUUUCUUUCUUUCUUUUUUUCUUUCUUCCUUUCUUUCUUUUUUUUUCAGUUUCUUUAUCUAUAAUAUGAGGCUAACAGUUCUCACCUCAUACAGCUGUGGCCUUAAAUGAGUUCACAAUGUACUUAGCUUUGUGCCUGGCACAUGAUAGUGGUCAGUACACGUUAAUCAUUAUUACUUACAAUUUGUAUUUUGCUUCCUUCCAAGAAGAAUUCGAGACACCUUAAAAUAUUGAACCACACAUAUAAAAGAGGUUAAUUAUAUGUACUUAUUUAUAUUUUAUUACCAAACCAAUUGGUAGUAGGAGGGAGAGAGAUAAAGUUAGGUAUUUGCUAAUGUGUCUGAAUUAGUUCCUUUAUUGACCCCUUAAUUAUCUGUGAGAUUCCCAGAAGCCAAGGCAAGAAAGGAAUACAUGCAUUACAUAGUUUUCAUUGUGAAAUGUAAGAAAACAUUCAAAUUAGCCUGUUAAAGUAACACCCCUCCCCUGGCUCAGUGGAUUAAAUCCUCUGCCUUCAGCUAGGGUCCU
Mustela erminea (ermine) is the source of this 3344-nucleotide long non-coding RNA. RefSeq lists it as uncharacterized. The record is from RefSeq and is a predicted model, not a curated record. The transcript is spliced from 3 exons. NCBI's taxonomy places the organism in Eukaryota, Metazoa, Chordata, Mammalia, Carnivora, Mustelidae.